CAGUAGCCGCGGUAAUACGUAGGUGGCAAGCGUUGUCCGGAAUUAUUGGGCGUAAAGGGCUCGCUGGCGGUUUCUUAAGUCUGAUGUGAAAGCCCCCGGCUCAACCGGGGAGGGUCAUUGGAAACUGGGAAACUUGAGUGCAGAAGAGGAGAGUGGAAUUCCACGUGUAGCGGUGAAAUGCGUAGAGAUGUGGAGGAACACCAGUGGCGAAGGCGACUCUCUGGUCUGUAACUGACGCUGAGGAGCGAAAGCGUGGGGAGCGAACAGGAUUAGAUACCCCCGUAGUCCCUGUCUCUUAUAC
Molecule: ribosomal RNA, 301 nt
Filed under: uncultured bacterium
Lineage: Bacteria
Description: partial 16S ribosomal RNA
Rfam family: Bacterial small subunit ribosomal RNA
Source: RNAcentral